RNAcentral lists this ribosomal RNA (494 nucleotides) under uncultured bacterium. Its description in RNAcentral is "partial 16S ribosomal RNA". It matches the Rfam family "Bacterial small subunit ribosomal RNA", at positions 28 to 507 of the family's 1533-position model. The record is from RNAcentral.
GACGAACGCUGGCGGCGCGCUUAACACAUGCAAGUCGAACGGAAAGGCCUGCUAUCCCUUGUGGAUUGCGGGUACUCGAGUGGCGAACGGGUGAGUAACACGUGAGUGAUCUGCCCCCAACUUGGGUAUAAGCCUGGGAAACUGGGUCUAAUUCCCGAUAGGACUGCAGGGUGGUGCCUGUGGUGGAAAACGAUUUUCUAGUGGUUGGGGAUGAGCUCGCGGCCUAUCAGCUUGUUGGUGGGGUAAUGGCCUACCAAGGCGGCGACGGGUAGCCGGCCUGAGAGGGUGGACGGCCACAUUGGGACUGAGAUACGGCCCAGACUCCUACGGGAGGCAGCAGUGGGGAAUAUUGCACAAUGGGCGGAAGCCUGAUGCAGCGACGCCGCGUGGGGGAUGACGGCCUUCGGGUUGUAAACUCCUUUCGACCGCGAGGAAGCCACCUGGUUGGAAGGGUGGUGACGGUAGUGGUAGAAGAAGCACCGGCUAACUACGUG